Molecule: ribosomal RNA, 542 nt
Filed under: uncultured bacterium
Lineage: Bacteria
Description: bacterial SSU rRNA
Rfam family: Bacterial small subunit ribosomal RNA
Source: RNAcentral
AAUAGAUACCCGGGUAGUCCAUGCCGUAAACGAUGUCUACUAGCCGUUGGGGCCUUUGAGGCUUUAGUGGCGCAGCUAACGCGAUAAGUAGACCGCCUGGGGAGUACGGUCGCAAGACUAAAACUCAAAUGAAUUGACGGGGGCCCGCACAAGCGGUGGAGCAUGUGGUUUAAUUCGAUGCAACGCGAAGAACCUUACCUGGUCUUGACAUAGUAAGAACUUUCCAGAGAUGGAUUGGUGCCUUCGGGAACUUACAUACAGGUGCUGCAUGGCUGUCGUCAGCUCGUGUCGUGAGAUGUUGGGUUAAGUCCCGCAACGAGCGCAACCCUUUUCCUUAUUUGCCAGCGGGUUAAGCCGGGAACUUUAAGGAUACUGCCAGUGACAAACUGGAGGAAGGCGGGGACGACGUCAAGUCAUCAUGGCCCUUAGACCAGGGCUACACACGUGCUACAAUGGUCGGUACAAAGGGUUGCUACCUAGCGAUAGGAUGCUAAUCUCAAAAAGCCGAUCGUAGUCCGGAUUGGAGUCUGCAACUCGACUCC